Molecule: ribosomal RNA, 253 nt
Filed under: uncultured bacterium
Lineage: Bacteria
Description: partial 16S ribosomal RNA
Rfam family: Bacterial small subunit ribosomal RNA
Source: RNAcentral
UACGUAGGGGGCUAGCGUUGUCCGGAAUCAUUGGGCGUAAAGCGCGUGUAGGCGGCCCGGUAAGUCCGCUGUGAAAGUCGGGGGCUCAACCCUCGGAUGCCGGUGGAUACUGUCGGGCUAGAGUGCGGAAGAGGCGAGUGGAAUUCCUGGUGUAGCGGUGAAAUGCGCAGAUAUCAGGAGGAACACCAAUUGCGAAGGCAGCUCGCUGGGACGUUACUGACGCUGAGACGCGAAAGCGUGGGGAGCAAACAGG